GAUGAACGCUGGCGGCGUGCCUAAUACAUGCAAGUCGAGCGAACAGACGAGGAGCUUGCUCCUCCGACGUUAGCGGCGGACGGGUGAGUAACACGUGGAUAACCUACCUAUAAGACUGGGAUAACUUCGGGAAACCGGAGCUAAUACCGGAUAAUAUAUUGAACCGCAUGGUUCAAUAGUGAAAGACGGUUUUGCUGUCACUUAUAGAUGGAUCCGCGCCGCAUUAGCUAGUUGGUAAGGUAACGGCUUACCAAGGCAACGAUGCGUAGCCGACCUGAGAGGGUGUUCGGCCACACUGGAACUGAGACACGGUCCAGACUCCUACGGGAGGCAGCAGUAGGGACUCUUCCGCAAUGGGCGAAAGCCUGACGGAGCAACGCCGCGUGAGUGAUGAAGGUCUUCGGAUCGUACAACUCUGUUAUUAGCGAAGAACAAAUGUGUAAGUAACUAUGCACGUCUUGACGGUACCUAAUCAGAAAGCCACGGCUAACUACGUG
RNAcentral lists this ribosomal RNA (497 nucleotides) under uncultured bacterium. Its description in RNAcentral is "partial 16S ribosomal RNA". It matches the Rfam family "Bacterial small subunit ribosomal RNA", at positions 28 to 507 of the family's 1533-position model. The record is from RNAcentral.